AGAUUCUUGCACAACACAGUUUGUCUUCCAAAACCGUGUCUCAGAUUUUUCCUAUUGUAUUUCAUUCUCUCAUAAAUCUUCAAUGAAGUUUGCAACAUCAAUUCAUAAGAGAUAACUAAAUUCAAUUGGGUAUAAAAUUUGUUCUAUUGAUGUCUUUGAAAAUCUGAGACAUAGUUUUGGAGGUCAAGCUGUGUUGUACAAGAAUCU
RNAcentral lists this small RNA (207 nucleotides) under Mytilus galloprovincialis (Mediterranean mussel). The record is from RNAcentral. Lineage: Eukaryota; Metazoa; Mollusca; Bivalvia; Mytilida; Mytilidae.